Molecule: microRNA precursor, 63 nt
Filed under: Bos taurus (domestic cattle)
Lineage: Eukaryota; Metazoa; Chordata; Mammalia; Artiodactyla; Bovidae
Description: Bta-Mir-223_pre stem-loop
Rfam family: mir-223 microRNA precursor family
Source: RNAcentral
CGUGUAUUUGACAAGCUGAGUUGGACACUCCAUGUAGUAGUGUCAGUUUGUCAAAUACCCCAA